RNAcentral lists this ribosomal RNA (301 nucleotides) under uncultured bacterium. Its description in RNAcentral is "partial 16S ribosomal RNA". It matches the Rfam family "Bacterial small subunit ribosomal RNA", at positions 509 to 807 of the family's 1533-position model. The record is from RNAcentral.
CAGUCGCCACGGGAAUACGGAGGGGGCUAGCGUUGUUCGGAAUUACUGGGCGUAAAGCGCACGUAGGCGGACUGGAAAGUCAGAGGUGAAAUCCCAGGGCUCAACCUUGGAACUGCCUUUGAAACUAUCAGUCUGGAGUUCGAGAGAGGUGAGUGGAAUUCCGAGUGUAGAGGUGAAAUUCGUAGAUAUUCGGAAGAACACCAGUGGCGAAGGCGGCUUACUGGCUCAUUCUAGACGCUGAGGUGCGAAAGCGUGGGGAGCAAACAGGAUUAGAUACCCGCGUAGUCCCUGUCUCUUAUAC